Molecule: ribosomal RNA, 460 nt
Filed under: uncultured bacterium
Lineage: Bacteria
Description: partial 16S ribosomal RNA
Rfam family: Bacterial small subunit ribosomal RNA
Source: RNAcentral
CCUACGGGUGGCAGCAGUGAGGAAUAUUGGUCAAUGGACGAGAGUCUGAACCAGCCAAGUAGCGUGAAGGAUGACUGCCCUAUGGGUUGUAAACUUCUUUUAUCUGGGAAUAACACAGGGUAUGCAUACCCUCUUGUAUGUACCAUAUGAAUAAGGAUCGGGUAACUCCGUGCCAGCAGCCGCGGUAAUACGGAGGAUCGGAGCGUUAUCCGGGUUUAUUGGGUUUAAAGGGAGCGUAGGUGGAUUUUUAAGUCAGUUGUGAAAGUUUGGGGCUCAACCGUAAGAUUGCAGUUGAGACUGGCAGUCUUGAGUGCAGUAGAGGUGUGCGGAAUGCGUGGUGUAGCGGUGAAAUGCUUAGAUAUCACGAAGAACUCCGAUUGCGAAGGCAGCUCACUGGACUGCAACUGACACUGAUGCUCGAAAGUGUGGGUAUCAAACAGGAUUAGAUACCCGGGUAGUC